RNAcentral lists this ribosomal RNA (473 nucleotides) under uncultured bacterium. Its description in RNAcentral is "partial 16S ribosomal RNA". It matches the Rfam family "Bacterial small subunit ribosomal RNA", at positions 28 to 507 of the family's 1533-position model. The record is from RNAcentral.
GAUGAACGCUAGCGGCAGGCCUAAUACAUGCAAGUCGAACGGGUGGUCGCAAGACCCCUAGUGGCGCACGGGUGCGUAACGCGUAACCAACCUGCCCCGAUCUGGGGGAUAGCCCGCCGAAAGGCGGAUUAAUACCGCAUAUACCCGCAGCCUGGCAUCAGGCAACGGGGAAAGAUUUAUUGGAUCGGGAUGGGGUUGCGUGACAUUAGCUAGUUGGCGGGGUAAGGGCCCACCAAGGCGACGAUGUCUAGGGGACCUGAGAGGGUGAUCCCCCACACUGGCACUGAGAUACGGGCCAGACUCCUACGGGAGGCAGCAGUAGGGAAUAGUGGGCAAUGGGCGAGAGCCUGACCCAGCCAUGCCGCGUGCCGGAUGAAGGCCUUCUGGGUUGUAAACGGCUUUUCUCAGGGAAGAAAAAGACCUUGCGAGGUACACUGACGGUACCUGAGGAAUAAGCACCGGCUAACUCCGUG